UGAGGAAUAUUGGACAAUGGGCGCAAGCCUGAUCCAGCCAUGCCGCGUGCAGGAAGACGGUCCUAUGGAUUGUAAACUGCUUUUAUACAGGAAGAAACACUCCCUCGUGAGGGAACUUGACGGUACUGUAUGAAUAAGCAUCGGCUAACUCCGUGCCAGCAGCCGCGGUAAUACGGAGGAUGCAAGCGUUAUCCGGAAUCAUUGGGUUUAAAGGGUCCGUAGGCGGUUUAAUAAGUCAGUGGUGAAAGCCCAUCGCUCAACGAUGGAACGGCCAUUGAUACUGUUAAACUUGAAUUAUUAGGAAGUAACUAGAAUAUGUAGUGUAGCGGUGAAAUGCUUAGAGAUUACAUGGAAUACCAAUUGCGAAGGCAGGUUACUACUAAUAUAUUGACGCUGAUGGACGAAAGCGUGGGGAGCGAACAGG
This 424-nucleotide ribosomal RNA is filed under the name uncultured Flavobacterium sp. Its description in RNAcentral is "bacterial SSU rRNA". It matches the Rfam family "Bacterial small subunit ribosomal RNA", at positions 355 to 776 of the family's 1533-position model. The record is from RNAcentral. Lineage: Bacteria; Pseudomonadati; Bacteroidota; Flavobacteriia; Flavobacteriales; Flavobacteriaceae.